This 1772-nucleotide long non-coding RNA is filed under the name Rattus norvegicus (Norway rat). RNAcentral's name for it is "long non-coding RNA NONRATT011421". Lineage: Eukaryota; Metazoa; Chordata; Mammalia; Rodentia; Muridae. The record is from RNAcentral.
UUAAUUUUUGGUCAAAUUUGUUUUAAGCUUUUUGUCACCAAUAAAACAUGAACAAACGGUCCCUGCUUUUCGCGUGGGGCCGUCCCUGAAAGGGUGUCCUGGGUGGUCAGCGACAGCCACACUCAUCCACCACCAUGUCCUCGUAGUGGCGCAGCACCACGUUGUCACUAUUAUCGAAGAAGAGCACGGAGAUAGGCGACAGACGCUCUGGCACGCAGCAGGGCGAGCCUACACCCGGGGUGGUCGCAAAAACGGUGGCAGACAGGGAGCAUUUUCCUCCCAGGCGGUGUCCAAGAGAGUCAGCAGAGUCCACUGCGUCCAGGACCAGUGGGCUGGUGACCGUAGGUCGAGGGUGCUUUGAGGUCCUGGAGGGGGCGUGUCCAGACCCCACUUACCCAGAGGGCAGGACUGGGCUGGGUCCCAAGGUGGGUGGUCGAGAAUUGACCUGAAAGGCGGAGCUGCUGGCAGCCAGAGUCCCUGGAGAAGGGUGGCAUCCUGCAUCUUAGGGCGGGGCCAUCGUCCUGCAGGCGUGGCCAUGCCGCCAAAGGCGAGGCCAGGCCUCCAGGGGUGGGAGCAGACCUCCGGGGACUGGGUCCAGUCUCCAGGGGCGGGGCCAGUAUCCCAGGUAGGACGGGACAGAGUCCUGGAUGGCGGGAGUUGAGGACAAGAGACUCAGAAGAGUUUGUCCUUCACCAGGCCAUUCCUUAGAGGCUUCCUAGGGGCCAGAAGUAGAGACAGAUUAGUUUGGGAUGCCCAUGCUUCCUUCUCCCUGUCGAAUAACUUCACCUCCCCUACUUCCACCUCCGCAAGGAUCCUCUCCCAACCCCACCCCCCAGACAGGUAGAAUUCACUAGGGUCCCUGCCAAACAGCACUUGCUCCCUGGUUCCCACCCAAACCAUCCUGAACACUCAGAAUCUUUGACAAAGUGUGAAAGGUCCCCCCCCCCCCCCGGUGCUGGGGGUGGAAGGCAGACCUCGGCUACACUCUAUGUCAGAGCAUUCGUCCUGUCACUCAGAGAAUGGCAGCCUGAUGACUAAGCUAUUCUUGCAGGAAUUAUUGGCCAGACUGAGGUUCCCUCAAUAAGAGAAAAGCCUAGUAGUUUCUGCCUCUCCCCUCCCAGCCUUCAGUAGACAGCUCCUGAGGGAGGUGCACAGGGAGCUAUGUUGGCAGGGGUCCCUGGUGUCCCUCAUCUCUGUGCAGUUUGUGGUCUUGGGGAGCAGGUAGCUCCAGGGAUGGUAGUCAGAGGUCAGGCCUCCAGGGCCUGAUGUGCUGAAUUCCCAAGCAUUACUCUAUAUAUGAGGUCUGUAGCAAGUGGGCCUUCCUGCCUCAUAUGGGUUAAGUGUCUCCCAAACCUGUCUCUUAAGCCUUGUGGAAACCUCUAGAAUGUUCUAGAAGCUUCCUUAAUAUGUCCUCACCAUCUCUCUACAGACCUCAUGGCUCACAUUAAACAUUCCACUUCAAGGGCUGGGUGGUAGCUGACACUUGGGAGGCAGAGACAGAGGCAGAUGAAUCUGAGUUGGAGGCCAGCCCUACAGAGUGACAGAGUGAAUUCCAGGACAGAGAAACCCUGUCUUGAAAAACAAGACAAAAAGAUACCACUUCAAGGCAACACACCCCAAAUGAGCCCCUCUGUCCUCUCUGAACCCCACCUAGGCAAACAGCAGUUUGAGCCCUGAGCCUGGGCUCACCUACUCCUCGAUCUGAUGCUUCCCCAAGCCAGCUGUUCCCAUAGCAGAGCGAGACAGACUGGCUGGCUGUCCCUCCAGCACGC